This 506-nucleotide ribosomal RNA is filed under the name uncultured Rhodococcus sp. Its description in RNAcentral is "bacterial SSU rRNA". It matches the Rfam family "Bacterial small subunit ribosomal RNA", at positions 903 to 1382 of the family's 1533-position model. Lineage: Bacteria; Bacillati; Actinomycetota; Actinomycetes; Mycobacteriales; Nocardiaceae. The record is from RNAcentral.
UGCGCCUUGCCAGCCCGCUCAGAAACUCAAAGGAAUUGACGGGGGCCCGCACAAGCGGCGGAGCAUGUGGAUUAAUUCGAUGCAACGCGAAGAACCUUACCUGGGUUUGACAUACACCGGAAAACCGUAGAGAUACGGUCCCCCUUGUGGUCGGUGUACAGGUGGUGCAUGGCUGUCGUCAGCUCGUGUCGUGAGAUGUUGGGUUAAGUCCCGCAACGAGCGCAACCCUUGUCUUAUGUUGCCAGCACGUAAUGGUGGGGACUCGUAAGAGACUGCCGGGGUCAACUCGGAGGAAGGUGGGGACGACGUCAAGUCAUCAUGCCCCUUAUGUCCAGGGCUUCACACAUGCUACAAUGGCCAGUACAGAGGGCUGCGAGACCGUGAGGUGGAGCGAAUCCCUUAAAGCUGGUCUCAGUUCGGAUCGGGGUCUGCAACUCGACCCCGUGAAGUCGGAGUCGCUAGUAAUCGCAGAUCAGCAUGCCGGGGUGAAUACGUUCCCGGGCCUU